Molecule: long non-coding RNA, 466 nt
Filed under: Gossypium barbadense (sea-island cotton)
Lineage: Eukaryota; Viridiplantae; Streptophyta; Magnoliopsida; Malvales; Malvaceae
Description: long non-coding RNA (GBAR_LNC003471)
Source: RNAcentral
GUAAGACGUUAAUGUGAUGGAACACGUGGCGGAUAUCAGUGGCGAGAGAGGUGUAGACGUGGCAUUGAUAAGUAGGGGGGCUCUUUUGUACGUUGUCGUUUCGUGUUACGUGUAAAUUGCUAUAUUUGAUAUUUAAAAAAAAAAAGGAAAAUAUGGUGGGGGCUGGGGUUGGGUAUGGGGGAAGGCAGACGAGAAAAGGAAAUGUGAAUGUUGGGAUAAUAUAUAUAAAUAAAAUAUAUGAAUAUUUAAAGAAGUGAAAAAUUUUAAAAAUGUUUUUUUUUAUUAUCUUUUUUAUAUUUAAUGAUGAGAGGAUAAGGUUUAAAGGUAAAGAGGGAGGAAUUUGUUUGAUCUGAAUGAUGGAGAAAGUUGCUGGGGACAUGGGGAACCAUGAUAAUGGAUGAUGUUUCAUUUCAUAAUAUCUUUUACCUUAAAAUUAAAAUUAUAUUAAAUGGUAAAUUACGAUGUG